This 23-nucleotide non-coding RNA is filed under the name Cricetulus griseus (Chinese hamster). The record is from RNAcentral. Lineage: Eukaryota; Metazoa; Chordata; Mammalia; Rodentia; Cricetidae.
AAUGAAGAGCCUUCAGAGGAGGG